GAUGAACGCUGGCGGCGUGCCUAAUACAUGCAAGUCGAGCGAACAGACGAGGAGCUUGCUCCUCUGACGUUAGCGGCGGACGGGUGAGUAACACGUGGAUAACCUACCUAUAAGACUGGGAUAACUUCGGGAAACCGGAGCUAAUACCGGAUAAUAUAUUGAACCGCAUUGUUCAAUAGUGAAAGACGGUUUUGCUGUCACUUAUAGAUGGAUCCGCGCCGCAUUAGCUAGUUGGUAAGGUAACGGAUUACCAAGGCAACGAUGCGUAGCCGACCUGAGAGGGGGAUCGGCCACACUAGAACUGAAACAAGGUCCAGACUACUACGGGAGGCAGCAGUAGGGAAUCUUCCGCAAUGGGCGAAAGCUUGACGGGGCAACGCCGCGUGAGGGAUGAAGGUCUUCGGAUCGUAAAACUCUGUUAUUAGGGAAGAACAAAUGUGUAAGUAACUAUGCACGUCUUGACGGUACCUAAUCAGAAAGCCACGGCUAACUACGUG
RNAcentral lists this ribosomal RNA (497 nucleotides) under uncultured bacterium. Its description in RNAcentral is "partial 16S ribosomal RNA". It matches the Rfam family "Bacterial small subunit ribosomal RNA", at positions 28 to 507 of the family's 1533-position model. The record is from RNAcentral.